Small nucleolar RNA from Salvia miltiorrhiza (redroot sage), 108 nucleotides. The record is from RefSeq and is a predicted model, not a curated record. Lineage: Eukaryota; Viridiplantae; Streptophyta; Magnoliopsida; Lamiales; Lamiaceae.
AAAUGAUGAUGGUGGGCAUUGUUGCUGAAGACUCAUAAAUCGGUCUCAUGCCUCAUGAAAAGAUUCACCCGAGGUUUGAGCAAAUGUAAAAAUCUAUGCUCUCAAAUC